RNAcentral lists this long non-coding RNA (2045 nucleotides) under Pan troglodytes (chimpanzee). RNAcentral's name for it is "long non-coding RNA NONPTRT001119". The record is from RNAcentral. Lineage: Eukaryota; Metazoa; Chordata; Mammalia; Primates; Hominidae.
AGUGACAGUUAGCUCUUUUUUGGGUGCAGUGGGUUGAAUGGUGGCCCCUAAAAAGAUAUGUUUACCUCCAAAUCCCUAGAACUUGUGCAUGUUACUUUAUUUGGAAAAUUGAUCUUUGCAGAUGUAAUGAAGUUAAGAAUCUUAAUAUAAGAUUAUCCUGGAAUACCUGACUGGGACCUAAAUCCAAUGACAACCGUCCUUAUAAGAAAAGUGGAGACACGUGGAGGCAAAGGUGUUGUGAACAUGAAGCUAGAGAUAGCAGUGAUGUGGCCACAAGCCAAGGAAGCCCGGGAAUGCCAACAGCCACCAAAAGCUGGAAGAGGUAGGGAGGGAUUCACCUCUAGAGACUCCAGAGGGUCAUGGCCCUGCUGACACCUUGAUUUCGGAAUCCCAGCCUCCAAAAUGGUGAGAGAAUAAAUUUCUGUUGUUUGAAGCCACCUGGUUUAUGAAGAUUUAUUACAGCAGCCCAGAGAAACUAAUACAGUACAGUGGGAACAGGGCCAAGGGAGGUGGUCAGCAGAAAUGAAGCACUGUCCGGAUGGUGUGAAGGUGAUCUAUGCUGUGGUCAGAACAGCGGAAGGCCAUGAACUUUGCCGGCGAGUGCCUUUGUUCUGAGUCAAAGUGUUCCUUGGUAUGUGAAGGACAUCAGGUCCAAAGGCUGCUAGUGACUGAACAGAUAAUGUGAAUUCCAUCAAAGUUUGACUUCUGCUCAUCCCUACCUCUCCUCCCGAAGAUAGUAGGGUAAGUGUGGCAUCCAGGCAAGCGUCUGAUUUUCUGUUUCUUCUGUUCAAUUGAGGAACCAACUCUGUUCCUACAGAGAAAACCACAGAAUGAUUAUUUUGGAGUGGUAACCAUUUCUGGCUUUAGUGCUUUAGUUCCCAUUUAUUGCUGUGUGUAUCCUUGGUUUCCUUCUGUGUGGUUGCUGGUCCUAAAAUCUCCAUUUGCUUCCAAGUUGGUCAAUUGGUCAGGCCCUUUCUGUCUUGAAUGUGGCCAGACUGUGACUUUAAUUUCAACUAAUACAAUAUGCCAAAGGUGAUAGGAUGUCCAUUCUGGAUUAUAUUACCCAAGACAGAAGCUUACAGAGCUUAAAUUUCACCUUGCUGGGAGAUCCUGUCCUUGCUGGCUGUGAGGAAACAGGCUGCCAUAUUGUGAGCACGGAGAGGAAAGGUGGCAAGGAACUGAGAGCAGCCAACAGCUGACAGCCAGGAAGAAUCUGAGGCCACAAGGUGCUGAAUGCUGUCAACAACCACAUGAGCUUGGAAGCAUGUUCUUCCCCAGGCAAGCAGAGGAAUGAGAACCCAGCCCUGGCUGGCACUUGAUUGCAGCUUGCUGGUGAGACCCUGACACACAGGGCCCAGCUAAACACACCUGGACUCCUAACCCACUGAAACUGUGAGGAAAUAAAUGCAUGUUCUUUUAAGCUGCUGAUUAAGUUGUUAUACAGCAAUAGAUAAUUAAUACUUAAUUAUCUAAUUAAUACAUAUUAAUAUUUUGGCAACAUACACUAUGUUCCUAAGGUACCUCAGAAAAUCCUCAGAACCAUGUGUUGCAAAUGGCAAUGCUGUGGUACGAUGGGGUCUCCUAAACACUGGUAAUGGGUGAUGCAAUCACUUUGCAAAACAAUUUGACGAGAGCUAGUAUAGGUGAGACUGUUCGUCUCCUGUGACUCCUAGAAAUAUGCCCCAGGAAAACUCUUGCCCAUGGUACCAGGUAACAAAUUGGAGGCAGCAUUGUAUUAACAACAAAUUGAACACAACCCAAGUGUUCACCAACUGGAGAAUGGACAAAUCAAUUGUGAUUCUUCAUAAAACAGCUAUAGCAGUGAAAAUGAAGCCCUCUUCUUUAGGAAAGGCUUUCCUCUUAAAGCCACUGACCAUGUCUUAUUCAUCUCUGAGUUUUGUCAUCUGCAAAAUAGGAUAAUAAUAGUGCCUACUGCUUAGGGCUAUAAAUUAGACACUUUAAGUCAUGAGCUUAACACUGUGCCUGACAUUUAGUAAGUAAGUGCUCAUUAAAUGCUACCUCUAAAUCUCCAGGGCUUCGCACAG